UGUCAGUUGGCCCAACCCCAUCAUCACAAAGUUCACACCCAUUAGGAACAUUGGCUACAAGAUAAAAAGAGGGACCUAUGGGAAAUUAACAAAUCCACUACUGAAUUGUUUGUACAACACUGCCAUUGACACAUUAAGGGAGAAAAAUCAACAAAACGGAUUGGAAAAGCUCAACAGCAGAUGAACCGCAAGAUAGAAUCACAAACUGACUUUUUAGCUUAAUUGCUGGGAUAUGCCCGCAUCUAAAAUACAAGUCUUUAAUUCAGUUGUGGAGCUGGAAAGAGAAGUGAGAUGGUUGAAACCAGCAAAACUUGAGUUCAUCAUGUGCUUUCCUAUAAAUUGUAUAAACACAAUCAUAUUCUCCAGUUCUUUUUAUAAAAUGGUUAUUUUGAGGCCUUAAACCAGUAACCUACAACCUCCAGCUUGCAAGUUUUGCAAGUCCAAGGCUUUUACCAUUAUACCAGAUAGCCCUUGCAUCUAUUAUGUCAAAAUGGAAA
Molecule: unclassified non-coding RNA, 497 nt
Filed under: Hevea brasiliensis (rubber tree)
Lineage: Eukaryota; Viridiplantae; Streptophyta; Magnoliopsida; Malpighiales; Euphorbiaceae
Source: RNAcentral